GACGAACACUGGCGGCGUGCCUAAUACAUGCAAGUAGAACGCUGAAGGAGGAGCUUGCUUCUCUGGAUGAGUUGCGAACGGGUGAGUAACGCGUAGGUAACCUGCCUGGUAGCGGGGGAUAACUAUUGGAAACGAUAGCUAAUACCGCAUAAAAGUAGAUGUUGCAUGACAUUUGCUUAAAAGGUGCAAUUGCAUCACUACCAGAUGGACCUGCGUUGUAUUAGCUAGUUGGUGGGGUAACGGCUCACCAAGGCGACGAUACAUAGCCGACCUGAGAGGGUGAUCGGCCACACUGGGACUGAGACACGGCCCAGACUCCUACGGGAGGCAGCAGUAGGGAAUCUUCGGCAAUGGACGGAAGUCUGACCGAGCAACGCCGCGUGAGUGAAGAAGGUUUUCGGAUCGUAAAGCUCUGUUGUAAGAGAAGAACGAGUGUGAGAGUGGAAAGUUCACACUGUGACGGUAUCUUACCAGAAAGGGACGGCUAACUACGUGCCAGCAGCCGCGGUAAUACGUAGGUCCCGAGCGUUGUCCGGAUUUAUUGGGCGUAAAGCGAGCGCAGGCGGUUAGAUAAGUCUGAAGUUAAAGGCUGUGGCUUAACCAUAGUACGCUUUGGAAACUGUUUAACUUGAGUGCAAGAGGGGAGAGUGGAAUUCCAUGUGUAGCGGUGAAAUGCGUAGAUAUAUGGAGGAACACCGGUGGCGAAAGCGGCUCUCUGGCUUGUAACUGACGCUGAGGCUCGAAAGCGUGGGGAGCAAACAGG
This 763-nucleotide ribosomal RNA is filed under the name uncultured Streptococcus sp. Its description in RNAcentral is "bacterial SSU rRNA". It matches the Rfam family "Bacterial small subunit ribosomal RNA", at positions 28 to 776 of the family's 1533-position model. The record is from RNAcentral. Lineage: Bacteria; Bacillati; Bacillota; Bacilli; Lactobacillales; Streptococcaceae.